AAGGAAGACUUAAUAAAAUCAGCAAUUGAGGCCCUACCGGUGUAUGCCAUGGGAAUUUUUAAAUUUUCGGUUUCUCUUUGUGAGGAAUUAUCCUAGAUUAUAAGGAACUUUUGGUGGGGAGAUGAGGAAGAUAGAAGGAAAACACAUUGGCUGGCAUGGGACAAAUUAACAAGGCCUAAAGUUAAGGGCGAUAUGGGAUUUUGUGAUCUCAGACUUUUUAAUCAGGCUCUUUUGGCAAAAUAGGUGUGGCGCUUAUUGAUUUGUCCGGACUCGUUGUGUGUGAAGUUAAUGAAGGCAAAAUAUUAUCCUCAAGGACAUAUGUCUGAUACAGUGUUUCCACAUUUUUCAUCAGUAACUUGGCAAGGUAUUGUGCGAGGUUGGGAUCUUUUAGUGAAAUCAACAAUGUAUAUACCACCUCCUACGGAUGCCGGUAAAGGCCAUAUUAUGAUUAUCUCGAUGAAACACUUGGCAAUCACUUUGGUAAAUAGAAUAUUGAAACCAAAGUCGGCUAGUGUAGAUACUGAAAUAAGAUUGUAA
RNAcentral lists this ribosomal RNA (537 nucleotides) under Triticum aestivum (bread wheat). RNAcentral's name for it is "partial small subunit ribosomal RNA". Lineage: Eukaryota; Viridiplantae; Streptophyta; Magnoliopsida; Poales; Poaceae. The record is from RNAcentral.